CCUACGGGAGGCUGCAGUGAGGAAUAUUGGUCAAUGGGCUUACGCCUGAACCAGCCAAGUCGCGUGAGGGAAGACUGCCCUAUGGGUUGUAAACCUCUUUUGUCAGGGAGCAACGCCGGCUACGUGUAGCCUGCCUGAGAGUACCUGAAGAAAAAGCAUCGGCUAACUCCUUGCCAGCAGCCGCGGUAAUACGGAGGAUGCGAGCGUUAGCCGGUUUUAUUGGGUUUAAAGGGUGCGUAGGCGGAAUGCCAAGUCAGCGGUAAAAUCGCGGGGCUCAACCUCGCGCCGCCGUUGAAACUGGCGUUCUUGAGGGGGCGAGAAGUAUGCGGAAUGCGUGGUGUAGCGGUGAAAUGCAUAGAUAUCACGCAGAACUCCAAUUGCGAAGGCAGCAGACCGGCGCCCAACUGACGCUGAAGCACGAAAGCGUGGGUAUCGAACAGGAUUAGAUACCCUGUAGUC
This 459-nucleotide ribosomal RNA is filed under the name uncultured bacterium. Its description in RNAcentral is "partial 16S ribosomal RNA". It matches the Rfam family "Bacterial small subunit ribosomal RNA", at positions 338 to 795 of the family's 1533-position model. The record is from RNAcentral.